UGCUUCUUUGAUCGAUACGUCU
This 22-nucleotide microRNA is filed under the name Asparagus officinalis (garden asparagus). RNAcentral's name for it is "aof-miR12149". The record is from miRBase by way of RNAcentral. Lineage: Eukaryota; Viridiplantae; Streptophyta; Magnoliopsida; Asparagales; Asparagaceae.